This 253-nucleotide ribosomal RNA is filed under the name uncultured bacterium. RNAcentral's name for it is "partial 16S ribosomal RNA". It matches the Rfam family "Bacterial small subunit ribosomal RNA", at positions 524 to 776 of the family's 1533-position model. The record is from RNAcentral.
UACAUGGGGUGCAAACGUUGCUCGGAAUUAUUGGGCGUAAAGCGCGCGUAGGCGGUUACUCAAGUCGGAUGUGAAAGCCCUCGGCUUAACUGAGGAAGUGCACCCGAAACUGAGUAGCUAGAGUACUAAAGAGGGUCGCGGAAUUCCCGGUGUAGAGGUGAAAUUCGUAGAUAUCGGGAGGAACACCGGUGGCGAAGGCGGCGACCUGGGUAGAUACUGACGCUGAGGCGCGAAAGCGUGGGGAUCAAACAGG